Molecule: transfer RNA, 71 nt
Filed under: Cordylochernes scorpioides
Lineage: Eukaryota; Metazoa; Arthropoda; Arachnida; Pseudoscorpiones; Chernetidae
Description: tRNA-Ala
Source: RNAcentral
UGCAUCGACCGGGAAUCGAACCCGGGCCGCCCGCGUGCAAGGCGAGCAUUCUACCACUGAACCACCGAUGC